RNAcentral lists this ribosomal RNA (301 nucleotides) under uncultured bacterium. RNAcentral's name for it is "partial 16S ribosomal RNA". It matches the Rfam family "Bacterial small subunit ribosomal RNA", at positions 509 to 807 of the family's 1533-position model. The record is from RNAcentral.
CAGCCGCCGCGGUAAUACGGAGGGGGCUAGCGUUGUUCGGAAUUACUGGGCGUAAAGCGCACGUAGGCGGCUUUGUAAGUUAGAGGUGAAAGCCUGGGGCUCAACUCCAGAAUUGCCUUUAAGACUGCAUCGCUUGAACGUCGGAGAGGUGAGUGGAAUUCCGAGUGUAGAGGUGAAAUUCGUAGAUAUUCGGAAGAACACCAGUGGCGAAGGCGGCUCACUGGACGACUGUUGACGCUGAGGUGCGAAAGCGUGGGGAGCAAACAGGAUUAGAUACCCGUGUAGUCCCUGUCUCUUAUAC